GGCCUUAUAGUUUAAGCUAAAAAUUUUAAAUUGCAAAUUUAAAGAUGAUGAUUUCUGGGGUUU
RNAcentral lists this transfer RNA (63 nucleotides) under Antigona lamellaris. RNAcentral describes it as "tRNA-Cys". The record is from RNAcentral. Lineage: Eukaryota; Metazoa; Mollusca; Bivalvia; Venerida; Veneridae.